AUUUAGUAGCGAAGUAGCUGAUUUCACACUGUCAAGAAAAGUCUCUAUCGAGGUUAAAGGUACCCGUACCGCAAACCGACCCAGGUGGGUGAGGAGAGUAUCCUAAGGCCAGCGAGAGAACUGUUGUUAAGGAACUCGGCAAAAUGACCCCGUAACUUAGGGAUAAGGGGUGCCACCAUCAGGUGGCCGCAGAGAAUAGGCCCAAGCG
RNAcentral lists this ribosomal RNA (208 nucleotides) under Clostridioides difficile. Its description in RNAcentral is "partial 23S ribosomal RNA". It matches the Rfam family "Bacterial large subunit ribosomal RNA", at positions 1577 to 1798 of the family's 2925-position model. The record is from RNAcentral. Lineage: Bacteria; Bacillati; Bacillota; Clostridia; Peptostreptococcales; Peptostreptococcaceae.